AUCAUUACCGAGUUAUCCAACUCCCAACCCCUGUGAAUUAUACCUUUAAUUGUUGCUUCGGCGGGACUUCGCGCCCGCCGGGGACCCAAACCUUCUGAAUUUUUUAAUAAGUAUCUUCUGAGUGGUUAAAAAAAAAUGAAUCAAAACUUUCAACAACGGAUCUCUUGGUUCUGGCAUCGAUGAAGAACGCAGCGAAAUGCGAUAAGUAAUGUGAAUUGCAGAAUUCAGUGAAUCAUCGAAUCUUUGAACGCACAUUGCGCCCGUCAGUAUUCUGGCGGGCAUGCCUGUUCGAGCGUCAUUACGCCCCUCAAGUCCCCUGUGGACUUGGUGUUGGGGAUCGGCGAGGCUGGUUUUCCAGCACAGCCGUCCCUCAAAUCAAUUGGCGGUCUCGCCGUGGCCCUCCUCUGCGCAGUAGUAAAACACUCGCAACAAGAGCCCGGCGCGGUCCACUGCCGUAAAAACCCCCAACUUUUUAUAGUGACCUCGAAUCAGAGGACUACCGUUGAACUUUAG
This 513-nucleotide ribosomal RNA is filed under the name Metarhizium anisopliae. Its description in RNAcentral is "eukaryotic LSU rRNA". The stretch from base 145 to 298 matches the Rfam family "5.8S ribosomal RNA". The record is from RNAcentral. Lineage: Eukaryota; Fungi; Ascomycota; Sordariomycetes; Hypocreales; Clavicipitaceae.